Bradysia coprophila is the source of this 167-nucleotide long non-coding RNA. The record is from RefSeq and is a predicted model, not a curated record. NCBI's taxonomy places the organism in Eukaryota, Metazoa, Arthropoda, Insecta, Diptera, Sciaridae.
GGCGGCUCCCUAACCCAAACCAGGUCGAUCCCAGCUUGGCAACAUUGCGAUUCGAGCUCGUGGCCGACCCACCUACGAUAAUCACCCAUAAAAUCGCUUUUUACAUUCAAUAUGAGCGAAAGGACAACUCGCACCAGACUAUUAGCACAAAAAAAUUUUAUUAUAAC